Molecule: ribosomal RNA, 847 nt
Filed under: Escherichia coli
Lineage: Bacteria; Pseudomonadati; Pseudomonadota; Gammaproteobacteria; Enterobacterales; Enterobacteriaceae
Description: partial 23S ribosomal RNA
Rfam family: Bacterial large subunit ribosomal RNA
Source: RNAcentral
GGGUAGAGCACUGUUUCGGCAAGGGGGUCAUCCCGACUUACCAACCCGAUGCAAACUGCGAAUACCGGAGAAUGUUAUCACGGGAGACACACGGCGGGUGCUAACGUCCGUCGUGAAGAGGGAAACAACCCAGACCGCCAGCUAAGGUCCCAAAGUCAUGGUUAAGUGGGAAACGAUGUGGGAAGGCCCAGACAGCCAGGAUGUUGGCUUAGAAGCAGCCAUCAUUUAAAGAAAGCGUAAUAGCUCACUGGUCGAGUCGGCCUGCGCGGAAGAUGUAACGGGGCUAAACCAUGCACCGAAGCUGCGGCAGCGACGCUUAUGCGUUGUUGGGUAGGGGAGCGUUCUGUAAGCCUGUGAAGGUGUACUGUGAGGUAUGCUGGAGGUAUCAGAAGUGCGAAUGCUGACAUAAGUAACGAUAAAGCGGGUGAAAAGCCCGCUCGCCGGAAGACCAAGGGUUCCUGUCCAACGUUAAUCGGGGCAGGGUGAGUCGACCCCUAAGGCGAGGCCGAAAGGCGUAGUCGAUGGGAAACAGGUUAAUAUUCCUGUACUUGGUGUUACUGCGAAGGGGGGACGGAGAAGGCUAUGUUGGCCGGGCGACGGUUGUCCCGGUUUAAGCGUGUAGGCUGGUUUUCCAGGCAAAUCCGGAAAAUCAAGGCUGAGGCGUGAUGACGAGGCACUACGGUGCUGAAGCAACAAAUGCCCUGCUUCCAGGAAAAGCCUCUAAGCAUCAGGUAACAUCAAAUCGUACCCCAAACCGACACAGGUGGUCAGGUAGAGAAUACCAAGGCGCUUGAGAGAACUCGGGUGAAGGAACUAGGCAAAAUGGUGCCGUAACUUCGGGAGAAGG